AGUGAACGCUGGCGGUAGGCCUAACACAUGCCAGUCGAACGGCAGCACAGUAAGAGCUUGCUCUUACGGGUGGCGAGUGGCGGACGGGUGAGGAAUGCAUCGGAAUCUACUUUUUCGUGGGGGGUAACGUAGGGAAACUUACGCUAAUACCGCAUACGACCUACGGGUGAAAGCAGGGGAUCUUCGGACCUUGCGCGAUUGAAUGAGCCGAUGUCGGAUUAGCUAGUUGGCGGGGUAAAGGCCCACCAAGGCGACGAUCCGUAGCUGGUCUGAGAGGAUGAUCAGCCACACUGGAACUGAGACACGGUCCAGACUCCUACGGGAGGCAGCAGUGGGGAAUAUUGGACAAUGGGCGCAAGCCUGAUCCAGCCAUACCGCGUGGGUGAAGAAGGCCUUCGGGUUGUAAAGCCCUUUGUUGGGAAAGAAAAGCAGCAGGUUAAUACCCCGCUGUUCUGACGGUACCCAAAGAAUAAGCACCGGCUAACUUCGUG
This 491-nucleotide ribosomal RNA is filed under the name uncultured bacterium. RNAcentral's name for it is "partial 16S ribosomal RNA". It matches the Rfam family "Bacterial small subunit ribosomal RNA", at positions 29 to 507 of the family's 1533-position model. The record is from RNAcentral.